This 253-nucleotide ribosomal RNA is filed under the name uncultured bacterium. RNAcentral describes it as "partial 16S ribosomal RNA". It matches the Rfam family "Bacterial small subunit ribosomal RNA", at positions 524 to 776 of the family's 1533-position model. The record is from RNAcentral.
UACGUAGGGGGCUAGCGUUGUCCGGAAUCAUUGGGCGUAAAGCGCGUGUAGGCGGUCCUGCAAGUCCGCUGUGAAAGUCGGGGGCUCAACCCUCGGAUGCCGGUGGAUACUGCCGGGCUUGAGUACGGAAGAGGCGAGUGGAAUUCCUGGUGUAGCGGUGAAAUGCGCAGAUAUCAGGAGGAACACCAAUUGCGAAGGCAGCUCGCUGGGACGUUACUGACGCUGAGACGCGAAAGCGUGGGGAGCAAACAGG